GUAUUGAAGGUGAUGCCUGCCCGGUGACAUAAUGUUAAACGGCCGCGGUAUCCUAACCGUGCGAAGGUAGCGCAAUCAAUUGUCCCGUAAAUCGGGACUAGUAUGAAUGGCUAAACGAGGUUCUAACUGUCUCUUACAGGCAAUCGGUGAAAUUGAUCUCCCUGUGCGAAAGCAGGGAUAAAUCCAUAAGACGAGAAGACCCUGUGGAACUUCAAAAUCAGCAGCCACCCUACAUACAUGCACACCCAACUCGGGCUCACUUAUCUCACGGGUAAUUGGCUUGCAAUUUUUCGGUUGGGGCGACCUUGGAGCAAAACAAAACCUCCAAAAAUUGGACCAUAAAUCUAAACUAAGAGCAACCUCUCCACGUGCGAAUAGCGACCAGACCCAAUAUAAUUGAUCGAUGGACCAAGCUACCCCAGGGAUAACAGCGCAAUCUCCUCCGAGAGUCCAUAUCGACGGGGAGGUUUACGACCUCGAUGUUGGAUCAGGACAUCCUAGUGGUGCAGCAGCUACUAAGGGUUCGU
RNAcentral lists this ribosomal RNA (527 nucleotides) under Chamaea fasciata. RNAcentral describes it as "partial 16S ribosomal RNA". It matches the Rfam family "Bacterial large subunit ribosomal RNA", at positions 1843 to 2576 of the family's 2925-position model. The record is from RNAcentral. Lineage: Eukaryota; Metazoa; Chordata; Aves; Passeriformes; Sylviidae.